GAUGAACGCUGGCGGCGUGCCUAAUACAUGCAAGUCGAGCGAACAGAUAGGAGCUUGCUCCUUUGACGUUAGCGGCGGACGGGUGAGUAACACGUGGAUAACCUACCUAUAAGACUGGGAUAACUUCGGGAAACCGGAGCUAAUACCGGAUAACAUAUUGAACCGCAUGGUUCAAUAGUGAAAGGCGGCUUUGCUGUCACUUAUAGAUGGAUCCGCGCCGUAUUAGCUAGUUGGUAAGGUAACGGCUCACCAAGGCAACGAUACGUAGCCGACCUGAGAGGGUGAUCGGCCACACUGGAACUGAGACACGGUCCAGACUCCUACGGGAGGCAGCAGUAGGGAAUCUUCCGCAAUGGGCGAAAGCCUGACGGAGCAACGCCGCGUGAGUGAUGAAGGUCUUCGGAUCGUAAAACUCUGUUAUCAGGGAAGAACAAAUGUGUAAGUAACUGUGCACAUCUUGACGGUACCUGAUCAGAAAGCCACGGCUAACUACGUG
Molecule: ribosomal RNA, 496 nt
Filed under: uncultured bacterium
Lineage: Bacteria
Description: partial 16S ribosomal RNA
Rfam family: Bacterial small subunit ribosomal RNA
Source: RNAcentral